GCGAACUAAACAAGGCCAUAAUAGAGUACUUAUAUAAAAGAUCAUUUUAAGUAUUAAAAGAAAUAUAGAUAUUCUCUCGACUCAUUUACAGAAAAUAUUGUUUUUAAUUUUUAUUGUUGAAGAAGAUUAAAAAUAAAUAUAAAAUCUUUUAUCUGUAGUGUUAUGUAAAAAAUAAAUAGAUCUUAUAUUUUGGAUGAACAAUCAU
This 205-nucleotide long non-coding RNA is filed under the name Sorghum bicolor (sorghum). RNAcentral describes it as "long non-coding RNA (SBIC_LNC001500)". Lineage: Eukaryota; Viridiplantae; Streptophyta; Magnoliopsida; Poales; Poaceae. The record is from RNAcentral.